GCGACGAGCUUGGUCUGAUGAAGCCAAUUUAUUGUAGUUCUUCUAGUUGCUUCUUUAAUUCCCACUAGUAGGGAUGUGAUCAUCAGUGACGUUAACUUUUCGUCACUGAAGACGCCUAGAUCGUCACAGAGUUCCAUUUGUGACGAUUUUGUGACGAAAAUCACUUCGUCACAGAAGAUGCGUCACAUUUGAUCUAUUGUGACAAAAGCGACAUUUUCGUCACAGAUGUGUCUCCAUUCUGUGACGAAAUGUCUGCGGUCACAGAAGCUAAUUCAAUCUAUGACGAUUGGUUUUGGUCAUUAAUGAACCACCGUUUUCGUCACAAUCCGCCGUCUGCCAGUCGCCUCUGACGGUGUUGUUAACGGCGUCUGUGUUUUGUGACGAAUCGAUUUCGUCACAGAUGUACCCGUUUUCUCGUCAUAACUGGCCGUUUGCCAGCGUCCGGACGGCGUAUGCCACGUUGGCAGAUGACAUCAGCACUGACGUGGCUGCUGACGUGGAUGCUGACAUCAUUGAUUGCGUGGCAUCUGACGUCAUCGAUGACGUGGCAGCUGACGCAGUGGGUGACGUCAAGCUGACGUGGCGGAUGAUGUCAUUCUUUCAAAUCGUCACAUAUUACAAUUAGAAAUCGACAUAGAUGAGGCUUUGAAUUCGACACACAACAGGCUUUCCAUCGUCACAGAUUACAUUUAGAAUUCGACACAGAUCAGGCUUUGAAUUCGACACAAAACACGCUUUCAAUUGUCACAGAUUUACCAUCACUUUGGUCACAGAAGUGCAGAUAAUAUUUGAAUUCGAAUUUGCAAAAGAUACUAGAAUGACCACACAAUUCCAUAGAUUAAUAAAAGCAGAAUUCGCCACUAAGUGGACAACACAGAACUGAGUUCACAACAUCACAUCACACUACAGUUUGGUUUGCAGAAACAUAACAGCAUAUAAACUAAAGUUGCCAGCUAGGAGCAACUUUAGUUAUUGAGUACCCAAAAUGAGCAGGCCAAUCACAGCAUCAUUGACCAGCAUCCCUCAUGUCGAAGAAGAAGCGUUAGCAUGGAAGGUCAAGAGCUUCUUCAGGAGAGCAUUGUUCUCCUCCAACUCCUUGGUGUUCUUCUCUGUUUGCUUCUUGUACUCCUCUAGCUCCAUUUGUGUCCUCGCCUGCUUUUCCACAGCUUCUUCAUUUUUCUUCUUGAGCUCGUCGAGUUCAACUUGAACAGCAGCCACUGCUUCAGCUGCCAGUUCUUCGCGAAGCUCGCUUUCCUUUGAUGAAGAUGACUUGGAGGAUGUUGGUGUUUUGAUGCCAACACUCUUUAGGAAAUGGUGUGAGCUGUUCUGGGAGAGCACCUUGGACACGACCUGCACACUGGAUGGUGGCGUCUCACCUUCAGCAACAGGCCUUUUUUGGAGCUGGUAUGGCAGGUCUCGAAGGCCUCCAUGACAUCUAAUUCUUCAGUGAGAUCUAAGCUGGGUUCUUCUCUGUUUCUCUUCUGUUUCUGUGUCAUGGAUAAACAAUCAGAGCAUAGUGGUCAGAUCAAAUGCAAGAGAAGUUGUUAAGUGCAAAUGUGGAUGUAUUAAUACAAGGUAUUUUUGACUUACAUAUGCAUGUAAGUGUGCCACAUAGCAGCGAGAACCUGUAGUCUGAUGAUACUUCACUUCACUGCGGUUCCGCUUGUUCGUUGCACAUGUUUGCUACAAGAUAAUGAACAUGUCCGAUGAGAUCAUAUGGUCAAAAUGAGAAGAUCCUUUCAAAACUGAUUGGCAAAGAAUAAUAUAUGAAAAGAUCCACGUACCAUGCUCUUUGGAUCUGACCACUUUGCAAUUAGGUCCCUCCACUUUGCGUUACUCAUGUAAUCAACUGGAGAAGUUGUCCUAAUCUCAUUUGCAGGUACACCAUUGAAGUAUUUCUUCUUCAGAUGAUAACGCUGGUUUUUUAUCGCACCGCGCAUCAUAUCGGUGCAAGCUUCCUCUGUUGCCUUGUCUUUAGUGUUAAUGGCCAAGCGCCCCUAUGCAUACGACAAUUCCAUAGUUAGUUAUACAAUUCAGGUUAAGCAGUAUACAAGUUUACUGAACUGAUACAGUAAUGCACUUACAGAAAGGUUUGCCACAAACUUCUCGUAGUAUUUCUUGUCUUUCUUGUAAUCUUUCCAAUGAGUUAGGACAUGCAUGCUUUCCCGAAUGACGAGGCCAGCCUCUGAUGCAAACUUGGCUGCUUGAACUGGUUCAUGUGGCCUUUUUUUUCCUUUCUCAACAGUUAUGGGCAAUCUCCUUCCCAUAGCUUUAGUCAUCUUGUCCAGCUGUUUUCCCUUAGUUGGUUCCCUGGGUCUCCUUGGGGCUCGCUGUGCAGGACCUACAAAAAAGAAUUCACAUUUACUGAAAUGGUCUACAUUUAUGCAAAUCAGGUAAGGAUAUGCCAUAUUUGUAUGACUCAAAACUAUUACUUGCCUUCAGUGUCAAGACCAUCAGCUCCACUGUCUUCAUCUGCAGGUUCCCUGUCAUGAUCAGCAAGUCUCGGUGUCCUGUCCUGAUCAGCAAGUCCAGGUGUAGUAGAGCUGUCUGGAAUGUCAUCACGAGCAUCUGUAGGAUCCUGUACAGGGUCCCCAUUUCUCUCUGCAGUUUGAGCCCUUUUUGUUGAUCUUGUUUCAGCUCCAGAAGGCGGCACCUGUGAUUCGUCAGAUGCCCUCACUCUCUUGCUCCUACUUCCUGGAGCCAUGUUGGGAUUUCUCUUCCUCUUUGAAGCAAGGGAUUUCCCUCUAGCACUUGUAGCAUACUAUG
This is a long non-coding RNA of Panicum virgatum (switchgrass), 2766 nucleotides long. RefSeq lists it as uncharacterized. The record is from RefSeq and is a predicted model, not a curated record. NCBI's taxonomy places the organism in Eukaryota, Viridiplantae, Streptophyta, Magnoliopsida, Poales, Poaceae. The transcript has 2 exons.